GACGAACGCUGGCGGCGUGCCUAAUACAUGCAAGUAGAACGCUGAAGGAGGAGCUUGCUUCUCUGGAUGAGUUGCGAACGGGUGAGUAACGCGUAGGUAACCUGCCUGGUAGCGGGGGAUAACUAUUGGAAACGAUAGCUAAUACCGCAUAACAGUAGAUGUUACAUGACAUUUGCUUAAAAGGUGCAAUUGCAUCACUACCAGAUGGACCUGCGUUGUAUUAGCUAGUUGGUGGGGUAACGGCUCACCAAGGCGACGAUACAUAGCCGACCUGAGAGGGUGAUCGGCCACACUGGGACUGAGACACGGCCCAGACUCCUACGGGAGGCAGCAGUAGGGAAUCUUCGGCAAUGGACGGAAGUCUGACCGAGCAACGCCGCGUGAGUGAAGAAGGUUUUCGGAUCGUAAAGCUCUGUUGUAAGAGAAGAACGAGUGUGAGAGUGGAAAGUUCACACUGUGACG
This 462-nucleotide ribosomal RNA is filed under the name Streptococcus mitis. RNAcentral's name for it is "bacterial SSU rRNA". It matches the Rfam family "Bacterial small subunit ribosomal RNA", at positions 28 to 474 of the family's 1533-position model. Lineage: Bacteria; Bacillati; Bacillota; Bacilli; Lactobacillales; Streptococcaceae. The record is from RNAcentral.